Molecule: long non-coding RNA, 414 nt
Organism: Heterocephalus glaber (naked mole-rat)
Lineage: Eukaryota; Metazoa; Chordata; Mammalia; Rodentia; Bathyergidae
Source: RefSeq, a predicted model, not a curated record
UUGAAUCCACACAUUAAUCUUAUCCAGAUAUGGAAGGUGGACUAUAUUGUCAAGAAUCUGAUUCCAAUUUGAUCUUCUCUACCUUGGUCUUGUUAAGUCACUCUGUUGUCCAGGCUGGACCCAAGCUAGUGAUCCUCCUGCUUCAGCGUCCCAGAGUGCUGGUAUUACAGGAUCUGGCACUUUGGGACUUCCAGAUCGUCACCAUUCAAAGUGACCAUGAAAGGUAAAUGUUUUGAAAUGACUCAGGACAUUGAGGUAGCCUGGAAAGCACAACUAUAUACACUCACAAAAGAGGACUUCCAGAACUUCUUCCAGAACUUCUUCAGAAAGUGGCAAGAAAGUUGGGAUAAAUGUGUUCUAAUUGAGGGAUUAAUGGCAAUGUGUCUUUUACUGUAAUAAAUGUUUUCAAGGAAA